RNAcentral lists this ribosomal RNA (253 nucleotides) under uncultured bacterium. RNAcentral describes it as "partial 16S ribosomal RNA". It matches the Rfam family "Bacterial small subunit ribosomal RNA", at positions 524 to 776 of the family's 1533-position model. The record is from RNAcentral.
UACGUAGGUGGCGAGCGUUGUCCGGAUUCACUGGGCGUAAAGGGAGCGUAGGCGGACUUUUAAGUGAGAUGUGAAAUACUCGGGCUCAACUUGAGUGCUGCAUUUCAAACUGGAAGUCUAGAGUGCAGGAGAGGAGAAUGGAAUUCCUAGUGUAGCGGUGAAAUGCGUAGAGAUUAGGAAGAACACCAGUGGCGAAGGCGAUUCUCUGGACUGUAACUGACGCUGAGGCUCGAAAGCGUGGGGAGCAAACAGG